AGUGAACGCUGGCGGUAGGCCUAACACAUGCAAGUCGAACGGCAGCACAGUAAGAGCUUGCUCUUACGGGUGGCGAGUGGCGGACGGGUGAGGAAUACAUCGGAAUCUACUUUUUCGUGGGGGAUAACGUAGGGAAACUUACGCUAAUACCGCAUACGACCUACGGGUGAAAGCAGGGGAUCUUCGGACCUUUCGCGAUUGAAUGAGCCGAUGUCGGAUUAGCUAGUUGGCGGGGUAAAGGCCCACCAAGGCGACGAUCCGUAGCUGGUCUGAGAGGAUGAUAGGCCACACUGGAAGGGAGACACGGUCAAGACUCCUACGGGAGGCAGCAGUGGGGAAUAUGGGACAAUGGGCGCAAGCCUGAUCCAGCCAUACCGAGUGGGUGAAGAAGGCCUUCGGGUUGUAAAGCCCUUUUGUUGGGAAAGAAAAGCAGCAGGUUAAUACCCCGCUGUUCUGACGGUACCCAAAGAAUAAGCACCGGCUAACUUCGUG
Molecule: ribosomal RNA, 492 nt
Filed under: uncultured bacterium
Lineage: Bacteria
Description: partial 16S ribosomal RNA
Rfam family: Bacterial small subunit ribosomal RNA
Source: RNAcentral